CACGGGGUCAGUCACAAGUCUACAAUGUACAGGAAGAACAAAUUCUCAAAAACAGGUUCGGACAAUGAGAGGCUCCAUGUCUAUUUCAAACCAUCUCCCCGAAAACGGUUUGAACUCUAGUUUUCAAUACAGACCCCAACAUUCCGUCAUGACACCUGGUGCCAUACAGUCGAGGCAUCCAUCAGUUGACGUUCAAAAACGCAUCCUUUGCUGUGAUGACAACCCAAUGUUUUUGGAGGAAAUGGUCUCUCUCACUGUUGCCAGAGUUCACCACCCAGGCCUCUAAAGUAACCCAUUGUGUCACGUCCGGACCUUAGUUCCUUUUUUAUGUCUCUAUUUUAGUUUGGUCAGGGCGUGAGUUGGGGUGGGUAGGUGGGUAUUCUAUGUUUGUUCUGUGUGUUAUAGUUCUAUGUUUUUUUCCUGGUAUGGCUCCCAAUCAGAGGCAGCUGGCAAUCGUUGUCUCUGAUUGAGAACCAUACUUAGGCAGCCUGUUUUCCCACUAUGGGUUGUGGGCAGUGGUUUUUUGUCUCUGUGUCUGCACCAGACAGAACUGUUUCAUGUUGGUCUAUUUUUGUUAUUUUGUCUUAGUGGUCUGA
Oncorhynchus masou masou (cherry salmon) is the source of this 596-nucleotide long non-coding RNA. RefSeq lists it as uncharacterized. The transcript has 3 exons. Lineage: Eukaryota; Metazoa; Chordata; Actinopteri; Salmoniformes; Salmonidae. The record is from RefSeq and is a predicted model, not a curated record.